RNAcentral lists this ribosomal RNA (253 nucleotides) under uncultured bacterium. RNAcentral describes it as "partial 16S ribosomal RNA". It matches the Rfam family "Bacterial small subunit ribosomal RNA", at positions 524 to 776 of the family's 1533-position model. The record is from RNAcentral.
UACGAAGGGUGCAAGCGUUACUCGGAAUUACUGGGCGUAAAGGGUUCGUAGGCGGUGUGGCAAGUCGGGAGUGAAAUCUCUGGGCUUAACUCAGAGGCUGCUUCCGAAACUGCCGUGCUAGAGUGCGGGAGAGGCGAGUGGAAUUGCAGGUGUAGCGGUGAAAUGCGUAGAUAUCUGCAGGAACACCCGUGGCGAAGGCGGCUCGCUGGACCGCAACUGACGCUGAGGAACGAAAGCUAGGGGAGCAAACAGG